RNAcentral lists this ribosomal RNA (241 nucleotides) under uncultured bacterium. RNAcentral describes it as "partial 16S ribosomal RNA". It matches the Rfam family "Bacterial small subunit ribosomal RNA", at positions 333 to 566 of the family's 1533-position model. The record is from RNAcentral.
UGAGUCCUACGGGGGGCAGCAGUAGGGAAUCUUCCACAAUGGGCGCAAGCCUGAUGGAGCAACACCGCGUGAGUGAAGAAGGGUUUCGGCUCGUAAAGCUAUGUUGGUGGGGAAGAACGUGCGUGAGAGUAACUGUUCACGCAGUGACGGUAUCCAACCAGAAAGUCACGGCUAACUACGUGCCAGCAGCCGCGGUAAUACGUAGGUGGCAAGCGUUAUCCGGAUUUAUUGGGCGUAAAGC